This 1454-nucleotide long non-coding RNA is filed under the name Equus caballus (horse). RNAcentral's name for it is "lncRNA (ENSECAG00000055785.1)". The record is from RNAcentral. Lineage: Eukaryota; Metazoa; Chordata; Mammalia; Perissodactyla; Equidae.
CUCCCGGGGCGCCCGCCGCCGGGCCUCGCGCCGCCUUCAGGGACCGGGGCGGCCGGCCGCGGGGCGCCGGGCUCCCGACAGCCGCAUUCCGACACAGCGCUCGGCCCGGCGCGCCGCGCUCCUCGGCGGCGGCUCCGCGCGCCCGGGCGCCGGGUGCACCUGUUCUUCAGCCGGCCCGCAGCCAACCCUCGGCCGGCAGCCCCGCUGGGAGACCAAUCCGAGCGCGGCGCGGCCGGCGGGCCGACCGACUCCCUCGCGCCGCCGCCGCCACCCGCGAGUCCCGCUCCGGCGAGCUGCGCGCCGCCACCGCCGGCCCGGCCGGGGACGCACGGAGCUGGGCAGCUGGUGCCGGCCGGCCCGCUGCGGAGGGAUGCCCAACCGCCGCAGAGGAUGCGAAAUCGCUCCUGCGCGCCUCGCCGCUCACGCCUGGGGAGGUGAAGCGGGGACCGCGGCGGGGAUGCCGGGCGACGCGCCCUCGGCCGGAGGCGGCUGCAGGCGGGCGCUGGCGGCCGCGCGGGUGCGGGGUGUGCGGAGCCGCGGCGGACGGGCUGGGCUGGAGGCGGAGCGGCGCCUCCGCCCAACUCCUAAUGGUGGGUGCCUGAUGCGCGCAAGAUAAAUAAAUGGUCCAGCGGCCCCCACUUGGAUGUGUGUGGCAAAAGCAGCUGCCGACCGAUUGGGAGCCAGUCUCCGGUGUGGCUCCAGUGGGGUCAGAGACUGACGCGGCGGAGCGAGGGGGCGGGGGUGUGGGAGGGUGUUUCUGCGCCCCCCCCCCCCCCCCCCAGCUCUCCGCCUGACAGCGGGGGCUGCCUGAUGGAGGGCCCCCUUUCCUUCCGACUUCCCGGAGAGAUGCUUGUGCUGCAGAUGACCUUUGUGCGAUUAGACCUGGCAGAUAACGCACAGGCCGAUUCACGAGAAUUUGCCUUUAAAAAGAAAGUAUCGUCUUUAAAUGGAGAUGUACGCACGGGUACACACGUCACAAGGCAAAUGAUUGUGAGAGGUGGAGAGCAGAACGGUACACUGAAAAGACGCAGAGAGCAGAGGAUGCCUUGGAACAGGAAGCCCCAGGGAUCUGGUACCUACCAGAGUCUUUUGCACAGACGCGCUUAAUAAAUUAUCUUUGAUGGGGACAGACCUAAUCUUCGCUAAUCAUCCAUGAGAUAAAGAACAAGGAGUUGGAAGGUCUAAGUCCACCGUUUACAGCACGAUCAGGAAAAAGGAGAGAAGUCUAUGUUUGGUCUCAUCACAGGCAUAGUGUCGGAAGUGUCAUCCUGGAGAAACAGAACUCUGCACAUCAAAGUUGGUCCAUCACAUUGUGCUUUCAAAGAAAUCUCUCACUGAGCUGCAAAUACUUUGGUUAAGCUAAGCUUGGGGUCACAUAUCAUUUCUGAAACCACAGCUAUCAAAUACUUGAUGGAUUUAGAAUGUAUGUGUCCAGAAAUCAAUAGGUACAGGAU